GACGAACGCUGGCGGCGUGCUUAACACAUGCAAGUCGAACGGAAAGGCCCUGCUUUUGUGGGUUGCUCGAGUGGCGAACGGGUGAGUAACACGUGAGUAACCUGCCCUUGACUUUGGGAUAACUUCAGGAAACUGGGGCUAAUACCGGAUAGGAGCUCCUGCUGCAUGGUGGUGGUUGGAAAGUUUCGGCGGUUGGGUAUGGACUCGCGGCUUAUCAGCUUGUUGGUGGGGUAGUGGCUUACCAAGGCUUUGACGGGUAGCCGGCCUGAGAGGGUGACCGGCCACAUUGGGACUGAGAUACGGCGCAGACUCCUACGGGAGGCAGCAGUGGGGAAUAUUGCACAAUGGGCGGAAGGCUGAUGCAGAAACGCCGCGUGCGGGAUGACGGCCUUCGGGUUGUAAACCGAUUUCGCCUGUGACGAAGAGUGAGUGACGGUAAUGGGUAAAGAAGCACCGGCUAACUACGUG
Molecule: ribosomal RNA, 468 nt
Filed under: uncultured bacterium
Lineage: Bacteria
Description: partial 16S ribosomal RNA
Rfam family: Bacterial small subunit ribosomal RNA
Source: RNAcentral